AUUGAACGCUGGCGGCAGGCCUAACACAUGCAAGUCGAACGGUAACAGGAAGCAGCUUGCUGCAUCGCUGACGAGUGGCGGACGGGUGAGUAAUGUCUGGGAAACUGCCUGAUGGAGGGGGAUAACUACUGGAAACGGUAGCUAAUACCGCAUAACGUCGCAAGACCAAAGAGGGGGACCUUAGGGCCUCUUGCCAUCCGAUGUGCCCAGAUGGGAUUAGCUAGUAGGUGGGGUAACGGCUCACCUAGGCGACGAUCCCUAGCUGGUCUGAGAGGAUGACCAGCCACACUGGAACUGAGACACGGUCCAGACUCCUACGGGAGGCAGCAGUGGGGAAUAUUGCACAAUGGGCGCAAGCCUGAUGCAGCCAUGCCGCGUGUAUGAAGAAGGCCUUCGGGUUGUAAAGUACUUUCAGCGGGGAGGAAGGGAGUAAAGUUAAUACCUUUGCUCAUUGACGUUACCCGCAGAAGAAGCACCGGCUAACUCCGUG
RNAcentral lists this ribosomal RNA (490 nucleotides) under uncultured bacterium. RNAcentral describes it as "partial 16S ribosomal RNA". It matches the Rfam family "Bacterial small subunit ribosomal RNA", at positions 30 to 507 of the family's 1533-position model. The record is from RNAcentral.